Molecule: ribosomal RNA, 777 nt
Filed under: Analges sphaeropus
Lineage: Eukaryota; Metazoa; Arthropoda; Arachnida; Sarcoptiformes; Analgidae
Description: partial large subunit ribosomal RNA
Rfam family: Eukaryotic large subunit ribosomal RNA
Source: RNAcentral
CCCUUAGUAACGGCGAGCGAAAAGGGAAGAGUCCAGCGCCAAGUCUUGACACCGAAGCGUUCAAGAGAUGCGGCGUUAAUGUAUUAUCGCAUCGUACAUUGUUGCCUGUUUCAAGUUCCCUUGACAGGGACAUCCAUAGCGGGUGCUAGGCCCAUAGAGGCAGGCAACCAGUGUGCGCAGAUAAUGCAUUCUAGAGUCAGGUUGCUUGAGAGUGCAGCUUAAAGUGGGUGGUAAACUCCAUCUAAGGCUAAAUAUGACAGCGAGACCGAUAGCAAACAAGUACCGUGAGGGAAAGUUGCAAAGCACUUUGAAGAGAGAGUUCAACAGUACGUGAAACCACUGGGAGGCAAACAGAUGGAACCACGAAGUUGCGCCUUGCUCGAUUCAAUCAUUGAUACUAGUUACCGGUUCUUGUGUGGAUCUUUUCGGAGAUUAGCAAGUGUCGUGGAACUGGUUUCAAUGGUGCAUUUCGUGUGAGGAUGCUAAGCCACGUUCGAUUAGAGUUGGGACGGCCGUAGGACAGAAUUUUGGAAGGUGGCCGGAAAUGCUUGCAUUUUUCGGUUUUUAUAGAUUUAAUUGGUACCGUCGCCUAACAUACUGAUCGAUAGAAAUUCUCCUUAGGGAGUUGAACUGUGUCUGCCUAUGACCAUUAGUCAACCUUUCGAAGUGUUCUUUACGUAUCUUUGGUGCGGAAAGACAUUUCAACAAUGUUGGUUAGUGGUUGUUUGCGUGACAUGGUGGAACUGUGGCGCGAGUAGGUCGGUUUCCCUCUGACCC